This is a long non-coding RNA of Pecten maximus, 2170 nucleotides long. RefSeq lists it as uncharacterized. The record is from RefSeq and is a predicted model, not a curated record. NCBI's taxonomy places the organism in Eukaryota, Metazoa, Mollusca, Bivalvia, Pectinida, Pectinidae. The transcript has 2 exons.
UUCUGUAAUACAUCCAGCUGAAUCAUGUUUCCAUAUACAUGUUUCUCCAAUGACUCUGUAUCGGUCCAAAAACCUACGUAUAAUCUCAUAUCAAGAAAUAACACAACUCCGAAAUAAAUUGCAAGGGCUCGACCACGCCGUGCUAGUUCGUUUAUUACCCACAAACGUGUCCAAUACUCUUAUACAUCAACAAACAUGUACACCACUCUCUGAAUUUAAUCACCAAAGUCUAAGAAAAUAUUAAACCCAUGAUAUAAAAAUUCCUCCUUCUCCCCUUGUUCCUGACAAUACACUGCAACAAUUCAAAAUACAUACUCGUAAAAAAAAAUACGGAACUCUAGCACAAGUGUUUAGCCUUCAACAUGGUCUGGCUGAAUGAACAAUGCACGUGCGCUUCCUGCACACCUGAUUUCUUACUCAGGAACUUUCGGCACUUUCCGCUACCCGACACGGGUAAGCCACCCAGCGGCCCUCUCCAUAAUAGGAGAAAACAAUUUCAUUCUAAUUCAUUGCAUUCAACCGAAAGAAAUUAUUUCUUUGUUCAUCUUUUCCUGGUAUGGAGCUUCAUUGGCAAAGGGACUGAAUGCAUCCAGGAAUAGUCUGGGGCAAGAGGGGCAGGUGUCCAUUAUCUAGGGACUUAUAGAGCCCUAUAGGCAGUGGUACAGGUGUCCAUUAUCUAGGGACUUAUAGAGCCCUAUAGGCAGUGGUUCAGGUGUCCAUUAUCUAGGGACUUAUAGAGCCCUAUAGUCAGUGGUACAGGUGUCCAUUAUCUAGGGACUUAUAGAGCCCUAUAGGCAGUGGUACAGGUGUCCCUUAUCUAGGGACUUAUAGAGCCCUAUAGUCAGUGGUACAGGUGUCCAUUAUCUAGGGACUUAUAGAGCCCUAUAGGCAGUGGUACAGGUGUCCCUUAUCUAGGGACUUAUAGAGCCCUAUAGGCAGUGGUACAGUUGUUCCUUAUCUAGGGACUUAUAGAGCCCUAUAGUCAGUGGUACAGGUGUCCAUUAUCUAGGGACUUAUAGAGCCCUAUAGGCAGUGGUACAGGUGUCCCUUAUCUAGGGACUUAUAGAGCCCUAUAGUCAGUGGUACAGGUGUCCCUUAUCUAGGGACUUAUAGAGCCCUAUAGGCAGUGGUACAGGUGUCCCUUAUCUAGGGACUUAUAGAGCCCUAUAGGCAGUGGUACAGUUGUUCCUUAUCUAGGGACUUAUAGAGCCCUAUAGUCAGUGGUACAGGUGUCCAUUAUCUAGGGACUUAUAGAGCCCUAUAGUCAGUGGUACAGGUGUCCCUUAUCUAGGGACUUAUAGAGCCCUAUAGUCAGUGGUAAUAGAGCCCUAUAGUCAGUGGUACAGGUGUCCCUUAUCUAGGGACUUAUAGAGCCCUAUAGGCAGUGGUAAUAGAGCCCUAUAGUCAGUGGUACAGGUGUCCAUUAUCUAGGGACUUAUAGAGCCCUAUAGUCAGUGGUACAGGUGUCCCUUAUCUAGGGACUUAUAGAGCCCUAUAGUCAGUGGUACAGGUGUCCAUUAUCUAGGGACUUAUAGAGCCCUAUAGGCAGUGGUACAGUUGGAUCUCAACAGAAGUGGGGGAGAUUCCCAAGUCGACAAACAUGAGGCUUGUUUGGCAGAGGAGUGUAAAUAACAAACACAUACAAAAUUGAAGUUAUUAUAUUUUACAUUAUUUGAACACUUUAAAAAAAAAAAAAUCUGUAUAGCUGUAAAAUAGAGAGUUAUUACACUUAAAAUGGUGUGUUAUAUUCAUUGGCUCUACAGAAAAAAAAUGGCAAUAUUUUUUUUCAUAUCCAGAUUGCAUAAAUAGCUGAGUCAAUAAGCAUGUACAUGUUUCUGGAAUGUUUUACCUUUUUACUUCUUUAUUUUGUUUAUAUUUACAAAUCAUAUUUUGUAUGAAGUGUUUCCAAGUUUUCUUCAUUUACCUUUAAGUACUUACUUUAUAAGUAGUUAAUUAAAGCUGACUUCUGUAGACUACCAUAUUAGUAGUUAUACUAUUUAUUUAAAUAUUGGUAUUUUAAAUGGUAUUGAUGAUGUAUCUAACAGAUACCUAAAAGCUGAUAUAUAAUCUACAUGUGUAGAUUCCCUGAUAAAACUUGGGAUACUGUUGUGUACUGUUACAUAUGUGCUCAGUGUUAUGUACCUUGAAUAAAUAUGGUUUAUAUGAUGAA